Molecule: long non-coding RNA, 265 nt
Organism: Fukomys damarensis (Damara mole-rat)
Lineage: Eukaryota; Metazoa; Chordata; Mammalia; Rodentia; Bathyergidae
Exons: 3
Source: RefSeq, a predicted model, not a curated record
CGAUCUUCUCAGAGACAUCUUCAGACCUCUCAGGAUGAGCGCUCAGUUCCCCAAAACUGCCCCCUACUUCAGGCUGAAGGAGAACACUGGCUCAACCGACUCCCGUCCAAAGGAAGAGUGGUGAACAAAGAGAAGUUCCAGCUUGUCUGCAUUCUGAUGAAGGGAGCAGUCUUUCUAGUGGUGUAGCAGGAGCAAUGGGAUGGACAAGGCACACUGGGUCUUCACUGCUCUGGCCAGCAAGUGGCACAUGCAUUUCUGCUCACAG